RNAcentral lists this unclassified non-coding RNA (336 nucleotides) under soil metagenome. Its description in RNAcentral is "partial contains 5.8S ribosomal RNA, internal transcribed spacer 2, and large subunit ribosomal RNA". The stretch from base 1 to 119 matches the Rfam family "5.8S ribosomal RNA", at positions 35 to 154 of the family's 154-position model. The record is from RNAcentral.
GAUGAAAACGCAGCGAAAUGCGAUAAGUAGUGUGAAUUGCAGAAUUCAGUGAAUCAUCGAAUCUUUGAACGCACAUUGCGCCCCUUGGUAUUCCAUGGGGCAUGCCUGUUCGAGCGUCAUUUGUACCUUCAAGCUCUGCUUGGUGUUGGGUGUUUGUCUCGCCUCUGCGUGUAGACUCGCCUCAAAACAAUUGGCAGCCGGCGUAUUGAUUUCGGAGCGCAGUACAUCUCGCGCUUUGCACUCAUAACGACGACGUCCAAAAGUACAUUUUUACACUCUUGACCUCGGAUCAGGUAGGGAUACCCGCUGAACUUAAGCAUAUCAAUAAGCGGAGGA